Molecule: transfer RNA, 68 nt
Filed under: Tritia ephamilla
Lineage: Eukaryota; Metazoa; Mollusca; Gastropoda; Neogastropoda; Nassariidae
Description: tRNA-Asn
Source: RNAcentral
UAAAUGAAAGCCAAAUAAGAGGCGCCUAGCUGUUAAUUAGGAGAAUGUAAUAAGACUUACUCAUUUAG